UUGGUUUUAUAUUUUUCUUUUUUGUAUUUUUUCUUCUUCUUUUUGAUGUAAUCUGGCAUAUUUUUUCUAUCUAAGUAAUAGCCAAAUUGCUCACAGAAAUCUCCAAGUUCUUUUUUUUUGGUGAGCUUUUGUUUAUCUAUUUGUCUUUUUAAUUUCAUAUAGGUGCAUAGGGCUAAGCCUUCUGCACAUAUUUCUGUGGAGAGUUCUCCGAGUGUAUAUGAUGAAUAUACUAUUAUUCCAUUAUGUUUCUUGCGAAGUCUUUCUUUGACUUUUUCUACAAAUAGAUAUGGAAGACCAGCUAUAAAUUUUUCCUUCCAAUGAUCUAGCUGGCAGUCUUCUCGUAUUAAAAGUCUUGAGAAAAAUACAUCUUUAUACCAUUUAUAAUGAGACAAAGUAGGGCAGCGUAAGUU
Molecule: long non-coding RNA, 410 nt
Filed under: Amborella trichopoda
Lineage: Eukaryota; Viridiplantae; Streptophyta; Magnoliopsida; Amborellales; Amborellaceae
Description: long non-coding RNA (ATRI_LNC004393)
Source: RNAcentral